AAGUCGUAACAAGGUUUCCGUAGGUGAACCUGCGGAAGGAUCAUUACCGAGUGGCUCUGCCCUCCACCCGUGUGAACUACCUGUUGCUUUGGCGGGACUCCGCCAGAGGCCACUCUGUAAGCUGUCGUCUGAUUAUACCAACGUUAAAACUUUCAACAACGGAUCUCUUGGCUCUGGCAUCGAUGAAGAACGCAGCGAAAUGCGAUAAGUAAUGUGAAUUGCAGAAUUCCGUGAAUCAUCGAAUCUUUGAACGCACAUUGCGCCCCUUGGCAUUCCGAGGAGCAUGCCUGUUCGAGCGUCAUUAAGCCUCAGCGCAGCUGGUGUUGGGCACCGUCUUUGCGGGCCCGGAAAGCAUGCAGUCUCGACGAGAAAUCACACGUCGGUGCACUGCCCCCUAUAUCUCUGUAUUGACCUCGAAUCAGGUAGGGAUACCCGCUGAACUUAAGCAUAUCAAUAAGCGGAGGAAAAGAAACCAACCGGGAUUGCCUCAGUAACGGCGAGUGAAGCGGCAUCAGCUCAAAUUUGAAAUCUGGCUCCGGCCCGAGUUGUAAUUUGGAGAGGGUGCUUCGGGCGCGGCAAAGGUCCAGGUUCCUUGGAACAGGACGCCAUAGAGGGUUAGAGCCCCGUUGGACCGCUGCCAAGCCCAUGUGAAGCCCCUUCAACGAGUCGAGUUGUUUGGGAAUGCAGCUCUAAGUGGGUGGUAAAUUUCAUCUAAGGCUAAAUACCGGCCAGAGACCGAUAGCGCACAAGUAGAGUGAUCGAAAGAUGAAAGGCACUUUGGAAAGAGAGUUAAACAGUACGUGAAAUUGUUGAAAGGGAAGCGCUGGCGACCAGACUUGCCCGCAGCUGAUCAGUCGGUGUUCGCACCGGUGCACUCGGCUGCGGUCAGGCCAGCAUCGGUCUCGGCGGCGGGAUAAAGGGCCUGGGAAUGUGGCCUCCUCCGGGGGGUGUUAUAGCCCGGGUCGCCAUGCCGCCUGCUGGGACCGAGGACCGCGCUUCGGCUAGGAUGCUGGCGUAAUGGUCGUCAGCGACC
RNAcentral lists this ribosomal RNA (1033 nucleotides) under uncultured fungus. Its description in RNAcentral is "eukaryotic LSU rRNA". The stretch from base 409 to 1033 matches the Rfam family "Eukaryotic large subunit ribosomal RNA", at positions 1 to 649 of the family's 3401-position model. The record is from RNAcentral. Lineage: Eukaryota; Fungi.